CCUGCCAAACUGGUGGUGUGAUGUUUCUUGUUUUUUUCCACAGUUUUUUUUUUUAUUUUUAAGCAGUUAAGAGACAAAAUGGUGGAACCUUAAUCUGCUGCUGCGGCAGUUACGCAACAGGUUGUUGCUAGGUAACCACAGGUUACUCAACAGGUUGUUGCUUGGUAACCAAAGAGUGAGUGAGUGAGUUAGUUGAUGUCACCAGUCUUGUUUAUCUAGCAGUGACAGGUUGAGCGGCUAAAGGCUUUCCUCUGCCUAACUCCCCCAGAAUGCUGUGCGGUUCUGAAUCAGAGUUUGGUGAAGUUAUUGGAUAUUUUAUCAGACUUUCUAUUGAAUUUGACUUUGAAGAAUUUGUCCUUUGACCUUGAAUUUGCCCAUUACUGUCUUGUUUUGGUUAACCAACAAUCUUUUCGUAAUUUUCUUAAUUUUAUUUCCAAAUCUUUAAUGAAGAUGAUGGUGGAAAAAGGGAUUUUACAUUAAAUUAAGAAAACCCUGAGCAUCCUCUUCAUGAGACUCAUUUUUACUGAGAAUCAUAAAACUUCCUAGGCUACAAAAAAUAAAUCAUAUUUUUGUCAUUUUCACAAUAAAAAAAAAGAUAAAACCAUUUACAUGACAUAGGAUAAGUACUGCCUUUAUUGCCAUAUAUGAAGCUGGAAGCUAAUGUUGCUAGGUUCAGUAUUCUCUUUCACAUAAUCAGAAUAUGUAAAUAAAAAAGGGACUAAUUGAAAUCCUGCUGAAUAACAGCCUGAUGUUUCCAGAUGCAUCUCGUGUUUGUGAUCGCUUUGAAAUGCUAAAGCGGCUCUUCGCCGGCGCUGUGGGUUCAGUGAUGCUCUCAAACAGUCCGUCCACGUCUGUCUCUUCUCAUACGACCUGCUAUUCACAGGCAAAUGGACCUCCAUACCUCUGUUGUGGUCCAACAGGGAGAACAGAAUAAGCUUUGUACUUUAAAAUGGAAACAACGGGAGUAUGAGCACAGUUUCUGAAGAAAUGUUUUGUUUUCGUAAAACCUUUAAGAAUUGUUGUUUCUCGGUAUUAACUGAUAUUUAUCUAAUUUCUGUUAGAUACUAGCUGUUUUUAUUUCUAGAUAUUUUUCCUAUGACAAACACAAAAAUCUACGUAUGUCUUUUAUUGAGAGAAAAAAUGAUGCGUGGCUUCAAGAUGGUUUCAGAACCAGCUUUUAUUGCAAUAACAGCUACAAGUCUUUAAGAUAUAUGUUUCUACCAAAUCUGCAUAUCUAGAGAGAGAAAUGUUUGUUUAUUCAUCUUUGCAUAACAACUCAAGCACGUCCCAUGUUUCCACACGUCUCAUCUCUGGUUUCAUCAAAUGAUGCAACAGUUUGGGACGUUUUGUGUUUUAAAUUGUUUGUAUCAGGCUUCUACUAGUACCGUUUGCGAUCAAUUGCAACUCCAAAAAUCUGAUUUCACUCACGUUUGUAAUUGGAAUAUUGAUCAUCAAAAGACUGGACUUUGUUGUUAUUUGUGUUGAAUAAAAAAGUUGUUUUGUUAUAGUUUCAUGUUAUUUAGUUUAUUUCUGGUGAGUCUGAGGAAGCCUUUGAUAUUCUCUUUACUUACCUUUCACCAAACUGAACUUCACCGCCUUUUUUUAAUGAACGAUCCAAAUAUAAAUAAUCUGAACUGAACUUGAUUUAUUUAUGAAACUAUUUGGAAAAACAUGAAUCCUUUUCCUUCUGCUUCACAAAUUCUUUGUGCUGGGUGGUUACAUGAAUACAUAAAAGUUUGUGGUUGUUACAUGAGAAAAUGUUUAAGGAAAACUUCUGUAAGACACUCUUAAAGACCGACCCUUUAAAACAAGUCAAUGUAGACUAUUAUUGUAAAAUCUUUAAAUAAAACUCUUGCCAUAAAUGA
Molecule: long non-coding RNA, 1865 nt
Organism: Xiphophorus couchianus (Monterrey platyfish)
Lineage: Eukaryota; Metazoa; Chordata; Actinopteri; Cyprinodontiformes; Poeciliidae
Exons: 2
Source: RefSeq, a predicted model, not a curated record